This 497-nucleotide ribosomal RNA is filed under the name uncultured bacterium. Its description in RNAcentral is "partial 16S ribosomal RNA". It matches the Rfam family "Bacterial small subunit ribosomal RNA", at positions 28 to 507 of the family's 1533-position model. The record is from RNAcentral.
GAUGAACGCUGGCGGCGUGCCUAAUACAUGCAAGUCGAGCGAACAGACGAGGAGCUUGCUCCUCUGACGUUAGCGGCGGACGGGUGAGUAACACGUGGAUAACCUACCUAUAAGACUGGGAUAACUUCGGGAAACCGGAGCUAAUACCGGAUAAUAUAUUGAACCGCAUGGUUCAAUAGUGAAAGACGGUUUUGCUGUCACUUAUAGAUGGAUCCGCGCCGCAUUAGCUAGUUGGUAAGGUAACGGCUUACCAAGGCAACGAUGCGUAGCCGACCUGAGAGGGUGAUCGGCCACACUGGAACUGAGACACGGUCCACACUCCUACGGGAGGCAGCAGUAGGGAAUCUUCCGCAAUGGGCGAAAGCCUGACGGAGCAACGCCGCGUGAGUGAUGAAGGUCUUCGGAUCGUAAAACUCUGUUAUUAGGGAAGAACAAAUGUGUAAGUAACUAUGCACGUCUUGAAGUUACCUAAACAGAAAGCCACGGCUAACUACGUG